This 305-nucleotide ribosomal RNA is filed under the name uncultured bacterium. RNAcentral describes it as "bacterial SSU rRNA". It matches the Rfam family "Bacterial small subunit ribosomal RNA", at positions 334 to 656 of the family's 1533-position model. The record is from RNAcentral.
UUGCCCUACGGGGCGCAGCAGUGGGGAAUAUUGCACAAUGGGGGAAACCCUGAUGCAGCGACGCCGCGUGAGCGAUGAAGUAUUUCGGUAUGUAAAGCUCUAUCAGCAGGGAAGAAGAUGACGGUACCUGACUAAGAAGCCCCGGCUAACUACGUGCCAGCAGCCGCGGUAAUACGUAGGGGGCAAGCGUUAUCCGGAUUUACUGGGUGUAAAGGGAGCGUAGACGGCGAUGCAAGUCAGGUGUGAAAGCCCGGGGCUCAACCCCGGGACUGCAUUUGAAACUGUCAGGCUGGAGUGCAGGAGAG